GGGACCUGGAGAAGUGAGCUGGAGAAGGUGU
This 31-nucleotide non-coding RNA is filed under the name Homo sapiens (human). Lineage: Eukaryota; Metazoa; Chordata; Mammalia; Primates; Hominidae. The record is from RNAcentral.